CUGGGUUUGUGUGUGCCGCCAUGGCAAGCACCAGACUGGGUGACCAACAAUGAGCUGGUGGGCUCGUGGCCCUGGAGGCCGGGAAGUCCGAGAUCAAGGGGCCACAUCUGACGUGGGCCUUCCUGCUGUGUCUUCUCUUCAGAAGAGCAGGCGUGGGGGUUGCGGCGCCCAGGAAAGCCACUCCUGAAAUAACAGCCUUAGUCAAUUCCUGAGAGGGAGCCCCCUCCGCCCAGUCAUCUCUUAAAGGUCCUGCUUCCUCCUGGCGCGUUGGCGAUGAAGUUUCAGCUUGAGCAUGGGGGGGCGGGCAUGCAGGCCACGAUGCCAGGUCUCUGACCACAGCGCCCGUGAGUCGGGAACCUCCCUGCAGGAGGGUGGGGUCUGCAGGUGGAAUGAGCAGGUUGGCACUUUGCUUCCAGGAGAACAACAUGAUCGUGUAUGUGGAAAAGAAAGUGCUAGAAGACCCUGCCAUCGCCAGCGAUGAAAGCUUUGGGGCAGUGAAGAAGAAAUUCUGUACCUUUCGAGAAGAUUAUGAUGACAUUUCCAAUCAGAUAGACUUCAUCAUCUGCCUGGGGGGAGACGGGACGCUGCUGUACGCUUCCUCGCUUUUCCAGGGCAGCGUCCCUCCGGUCAUGGCCUUCCACCUGGGCUCCCUGGGCUUCCUGACCCCAUUCAGCUUUGAGAACUUUCAGUCCCAAGUUACUCAGGUGAUAGAGGGGAACGCAGCUGUUGUUCUCCGGAGUCGGCUGAAGGUCAGGGUGGUGAAGGAGCUCCGGGGGAAGAAGACAGCCGUGCACAACGGGCUGGGUGAGAAUGGCUCGCAGGCUGCAGGCCUGGACAUGGAUGUCGGGAAGCAGACCAUGCAAUACCAGGUCCUGAAUGAGGUGGUGAUUGACAGAGGCCCCUCCUCCUACCUGUCCAACGUGGAUGUCUACCUGGACGGACACCUCAUCACCACGGUGCAGGGCGACGGUAAGGCCCGCAGCGCUGUCCUGGGGCCCUGAGCGUCCCUCGGGCGGGAGUGACGCCUGCGCCUGUCCCUGUCAGGAGUGAUCGUGUCCACCCCGACGGGCAGCACGGCGUAU
Molecule: small RNA, 1082 nt
Filed under: Pan troglodytes (chimpanzee)
Lineage: Eukaryota; Metazoa; Chordata; Mammalia; Primates; Hominidae
Description: retained intron
Source: RNAcentral